RNAcentral lists this ribosomal RNA (480 nucleotides) under Pseudomonas sp. RNAcentral describes it as "bacterial SSU rRNA". It matches the Rfam family "Bacterial small subunit ribosomal RNA", at positions 60 to 534 of the family's 1533-position model. Lineage: Bacteria; Pseudomonadati; Pseudomonadota; Gammaproteobacteria; Pseudomonadales; Pseudomonadaceae. The record is from RNAcentral.
AGUCGAGCGGAUGAAGGGAGCUUGCUCCUGAAUUCAGCGGCGGACGGGUGAGUAAUGCCUAGGAAUCUGCCUGGUAGUGGGGGACAACGUUUCGAAAGGAACGCUAAUACCGCAUACGUCCUACGGGAGAAAGCAGGGGACCUUCGGGCCUUGCGCUAUCAGAUGAGCCUAGGUCGGAUUAGCUAGUUGGUGAGGUAAUGGCUCACCAAGGCGACGAUCCGUAACUGGUCUGAGAGGAUGAUCAGUCACACUGGAACUGAGACACGGUCCAGACUCCUACGGGAGGCAGCAGUGGGGAAUAUUGGACAAUGGGCGAAAGCCUGAUCCAGCCAUGCCGCGUGUGUGAAGAAGGUCUUCGGAUUGUAAAGCACUUUAAGUUGGGAGGAAGGGUUGUAGAUUAAUACUCUGCAAUUUUGACGUUACCGACAGAAUUUUUUUCCGGCUAACUCUGUGCCAGCAGCCGCGGUAAUACAGAGGGUG